AGCUGGCGUAGUGACACGUGCCUGUAGCCCCACCUACUCAAAAGGUUGAGUCUGGAGGAUCGCUUGAGUUCAGGAGUUCUGGGCUGUAGUGCGCUAUGCCGAUCGGGUGUCCACACUAAGUUCAGCAUCAAUAUGGUGACCUCCUGGGAGUGGGGGACCACCAGGUUGCCUAAGGAGGGGUAACGGAACAGGUCAAAACUCCUGUGCUGAUCAGUAGUGGGAUUGCACCUGUGAAUAGCCACUGCACUCCAGCCUGGGCAACAUAGCGAGACCCUGUCUCU
Unclassified non-coding RNA from Saimiri boliviensis boliviensis (Bolivian squirrel monkey), 281 nucleotides. It matches the Rfam family "Metazoan signal recognition particle RNA". Rfam says of the family: The signal recognition particle (SRP) is a universally conserved ribonucleoprotein. It is involved in the co-translational targeting of proteins to membranes. NCBI's taxonomy places the organism in Eukaryota, Metazoa, Chordata, Mammalia, Primates, Cebidae. The record is from Ensembl.